This 114-nucleotide ribosomal RNA is filed under the name Anolis carolinensis (green anole). Lineage: Eukaryota; Metazoa; Chordata; Lepidosauria; Squamata; Anolidae. The record is from RNAcentral.
GCCCACAAAGACUAUAACUGAAGCAAGAAAUUCUGUCUGAUCUUGGAAGCUAAGGGCCAGGCCUAGUUAAUACUUGGAUGGGCGACCACCAAGGAAUACCAGGUACUGUAGGCU